GUAUUGGGGCAUUACUUCCGCACUUGUGCCUCGCAUCUCCCUCUGUGACCCUCCACCCCGUCGUCUCACAAGGGAAGGACCUGCACGGCACUAGCUGAGGAGACGCUGCUGGAAGCGCUAGAGCCCUCUCUCUCUUUUUGCCGCCGACACCCACGAAAAGGACUCUCGAGCGAUAUUGACGCCCCUCCUCCUCCACCCCCCAAAACGGCGAUGCGGCGCCUGCAGCGGCGCAUUCUCAGCGCACGCACGCCGGUGCGUUUAUUUGACAGUGAUGAGCGCUUCGGCAAGGAGCUUGGCUUUGGACACAAGAUGCGCGAUAUCCCAGUACUGACCGGUAACCCGCGCCCAGUAGCUCGAGAAGAGUCGUGGCGGUGCGCGUACAAGCUGAGUGACCGUAUGGAGUUCGUGGUGCGCGACAUCCUCACAAAGAACAAGUGGAGCCCCUUAGAAGUGGAUCGAGAGCUGGCGCACAUAUUCGAGCGCAAGGAGGUCGGCAGUCGCUCCUCUCUCAACACCUGGUCGACCGUGGAGGAGUUCCAGCGAACGCCAUGGUACCGGCGCUACAAGCCGACGGAUGACACAGCGGCCAAGUUCAUCUCGUACGAGGCGAUGAAGCUCCUCGAGAGUGCCUUGAUUCCGCCUUCGCUACGCACGGACCCGUACGCUCACCUGCGCAAGAGGCAUAUGGAGGACAACUGGAUAAAUGACAAGUUCUCCGAGGACACAGCCAGGUAUAUUACGCGAGAGCGGCUGGCGCAGCACACGAAAGGGAUGCCCCAGUACGGUCAAAUGAGUCGCCGUAAGUACAUGGAGUUCGAGAGAAAGUUUAGAAAUAUGCACGGCUCCAACAUGCAUGUGAAUGAGAUUUACUCCGCCUGGCUGAAUUCGCUCGACGCCAAGGAUGGCGAAAAGCGGCAAGAUGAAUGAGAGACGAGAGCGCGUGCGGCGAAGAAGGGCAGCGCGAAACGAAAAAAAAAAUAAAAAAAAAGGAAUGGACGCGUGCAGCUCUCAUGGAGAUGGCGCAUUUCGGGAGCGACGCUGUCGUGCUCCUCUUCGCUCUGCUUCCGCUGCCAAUGCGCGUACGUGAGUGCCAAUGACGUACACACAUUGGCAGGCACACAAAGAAACCAAGCACGAAAUGCACCCUGAUAACGUUGAUUUCCCGCGCUGUCAGUGGAUUGGAGACGUCAGAUGCGCCGUCUUGAGGUGAUGUCUGCCAAGUGUUCUCUUGCCGCGUUCUUCUAAGGCUCGAAGGGCCUUGCGCAUUCCAUCUUUCUCUCUCGUCCGCGCCAUGACGAGCCUCAUUCUCGCACGUGAGGUUUUGCGUAAGGCUCGCCUACAAAGGAGAGAUACACACGAAAAAAAAAACAACGAACAAGUAGAAAGCAACCACGGACAAAAUCUGAGUAUCCACAGCCGUGACGAGAUCGCCGUGUGCGCGAGUGCGUGGCUGCUUGAGCCCUCUUUUACUCCCGCGUUCUGUUCCCCUUCUUUUCUCUCAACUUCGCCGUUUUUUUUCUGCGUCUUACUAUCUUCCUCACUUCAUCGCCCUUUGCUGUGGGCGUCCACCUCUCGAUGGCCGCGUACGUUCGUGAG
Molecule: unclassified non-coding RNA, 1596 nt
Filed under: Leishmania donovani
Lineage: Eukaryota; Euglenozoa; Kinetoplastea; Trypanosomatida; Trypanosomatidae
Description: gene:LdHU3.30.0080(CDS-product:hypothetical_prote in_conserved)
Source: RNAcentral